AUGAAGAUACUUACUUCCCAA
RNAcentral lists this small nuclear RNA (21 nucleotides) under Arabidopsis thaliana (thale cress). Its description in RNAcentral is "snRNA_07220". The record is from RNAcentral. Lineage: Eukaryota; Viridiplantae; Streptophyta; Magnoliopsida; Brassicales; Brassicaceae.